Molecule: ribosomal RNA, 375 nt
Filed under: uncultured eukaryote
Lineage: Eukaryota
Description: partial 18S ribosomal RNA
Rfam family: Eukaryotic small subunit ribosomal RNA
Source: RNAcentral
CAAUAGCGUAUAUUAAAGUUGUUGCGGUUAAAAAGCUCGUAGUUGGAUUUCGGUUAAGAGCGACCGGUCCGCCGUUUGGUGUGCACUGGUUGGUUUUAACUUCCUGUAGAGGACGUGCUCUGGGUUUAACGACCUGGACUCGGAGUCUACGUGGUUACUUUGAAAAAAUUAGAGUGUUCAAAGCGGGCUUACGCUUGAAUAUUUCAGCAUGGAAUAACACUAUAGGACUCCUGUCCUAUUUCGUUGGUCUCGGGACGGGAGUAAUGAUUAAGAGGAACAGUUGGGGGCAUUCGUAUUUCAUUGUCAGAGGUGAAAUUCUUGGAUUUAUGAAAGACGAACUUCUGCGAAAGCAUUUGCCAAGGAUGUUUUCAUUAA